Non-coding RNA from Parasteatoda tepidariorum (common house spider), 206 nucleotides. The record is from RefSeq and is a predicted model, not a curated record. NCBI's taxonomy places the organism in Eukaryota, Metazoa, Arthropoda, Arachnida, Araneae, Theridiidae.
GCGACAGCUUUUGACCAGAGUUUUGAUUAGAACGAUUAUUCCAGGCAUUAUUAGAUAUUCUUCCACUGCCACGAUUUCCUCCUGUGAUAAAUAUGUUAACACAAUAGGUUAUUUUGCUUCUUUUCACACAACACGAAAAUACUUACUCUAAAUUAUUCCAUUCCAAUGAAUAAAACCUUCAUCUACAAAGUUGUUUGAAGUAGCAG